Molecule: non-coding RNA, 238 nt
Filed under: Eubacterium sp.
Lineage: Bacteria; Bacillati; Bacillota; Clostridia; Eubacteriales; Eubacteriaceae
Description: T-box sequence
Rfam family: T-box leader
About the family: Uncharged tRNA acts as the effector for transcription antitermination of genes in the T-box leader family. T-boxes are found upstream of many aminoacyl-tRNA synthetase genes and some amino acid biosynthetic genes usually in Gram-positive bacteria.
Source: RNAcentral
UGAAAUGCGAUGAUAGGAAACAAAGCCCUGACGCACUUCCAGAGAGCCGGCGUUCGGUGCGAGCCGGUAGGGUUGCAGGGUCAUAGCUCCUCCUUGAGCAGAACAGCUGAACGGCUUCGCGCUAACUAAGCUGUUACGGUUUCUCCCGUUAUAGAGAGGCACAUUGUCUGAUGUGACCGAGUGGGCAGGCUUCUGCCAAUGAGAGUGGUACCGUGGAGUAUUCAGCUUCAUCUCUUGA